CUGGAAUCGCAAGAUCCCACAACCCUGUGAACCUACCGAAACGUUGCCUCGGCGGGUGCCCGGCCUCUGCGCCGGGCGCUGCGCCCGCCGGCGGCCCCCUACUCUGUCUCUGCAGCGUGGCAUCUCAGAGUCCCAGAAAACAAGUCA
This 147-nucleotide unclassified non-coding RNA is filed under the name uncultured fungus. RNAcentral describes it as "sequence contains ITS1, 5.8S rRNA gene". The record is from RNAcentral. Lineage: Eukaryota; Fungi.